This 141-nucleotide ribosomal RNA is filed under the name Lethariella intricata. RNAcentral describes it as "5.8S ribosomal RNA". It matches the Rfam family "5.8S ribosomal RNA". Rfam says of the family: 5.8S ribosomal RNA (5.8S rRNA) is a component of the large subunit of the eukaryotic ribosome. It is transcribed by RNA polymerase I as part of the 45S precursor that also contains 18S and 28S rRNA. Lineage: Eukaryota; Fungi; Ascomycota; Lecanoromycetes; Lecanorales; Parmeliaceae. The record is from RNAcentral.
AUCUCUUGGUUCCGGCAUCGAUGAAGAACGCAGCGAAAUGCGAUAAGUAAUGUGAAUUGCAGAAUUCAGUGAAUCAUCGAAUCUUUGAACGCACAUUGCGCCCCUCGGUAUUCCGGGGGGCAUGCCUGUUCGAGCGUCAUU